GAUGAACGCUGGCGGCGUGCUUAACACAUGCAAGUCGAACGGUGAAGGCGGAGCUUGCUCUGCUGGAUCAGUGGCGAACGGGUGAGUAACACGUGAGCAAUCUGCCCCUGACUCUGGGAUAAGCGCUGGAAACGGCGUCUAAUACUGGAUACGAGCUGCGAAGGCAUCUUCAGCAGCUGGAAAGAACUUCGGUCAGGGAUGAGCUCGCGGCCUAUCAGCUUGUUGGUGAGGUAACGGCUCACCAAGGCGUCGACGGGUAGCCGGCCUGAGAGGGUGACCGGCAACAGGGGGAAAGAGAUACGGACCAGAGACAUAAGGGAGGCAGAAGGGGGGAAGAUGGAAGAAGGGGCGGAAGCCUGAUGCAGCAAGGAAGCGGGAGGGAGGAAGGCCUGCGGGAUGUAAACAGAAUGCGCCGGGGAAGAAGCGGGAGGGAAGGUAAUGGGUAAAGAAGAACCGGAUAACUAAGUG
Molecule: ribosomal RNA, 468 nt
Filed under: uncultured bacterium
Lineage: Bacteria
Description: partial 16S ribosomal RNA
Rfam family: Bacterial small subunit ribosomal RNA
Source: RNAcentral